GAUGAACGCUGGCGGCGUGCCUAAUACAUGCAAGUCGAGCGAACGGACGAGAAGCUUGCUUCUCUGAUGUUAGCGGCGGACGGGUGAGUAACACGUGGAUAACCUACCUAUAAGACUGGGAUAACUUCGGGAAACCGGAGCUAAUACCGGAUAAUAUUUUGAACCGCAUGGUUCAAAAGUGAAAGACGGUCUUGCUGUCACUUAUAGAUGGAUCCGCGCUGCAUUAGCUAGUUGGUAAGGUAACGGCUUACCAAGGCAACGAUGCAUAGCCGACCUGAGAGGGUGACCGGCCACACUGGAACUGAGACACGGUCCAGACUCCUACGGGAGGCAGCAGUAGGGAAUCUUCCGCAAUGGGCGAAAGCCUGACGGAGCAACGCCGCGUGAGUGAUGAAGGUCUUCGGAUCGUAAAACUCUGUUAUUAGGGAAGAACAUAUGUGUAAGUAACUGUGCACAUCUUGACGGUACCUAAUCAGAAAGCCACGGCUAACUACGUGCCAGCAGCCGCGGUAAUACGUAGGUGGCAAGCGUUAUCCGGAAUUAUUGGGCGUAAAGCGCGCGUAGGCGGUUUUUUAAGUCUGAUGUGAAAGCCCACGGCUCAACCGUGGAGGGUCAUUGGAAACUGGAAAACUUGAGUGCAGAAGAGGAAAGUGGAAUUCCAUGUGUAGCGGUGAAAUGCGCAGAGAUAUGGAGGAACACCAGUGGCGAAGGCGACUUUCUGGUCUGUAACUGACGCUGAUGUGCGAAAGCGUGGGGAUCAAACAGGAUUAGAUACCCUGGUAGUCCACGCCGUAAACGAUGAGUGCUAAGUGUUAGGGGGUUUCCGCCCCUUAGUGCUGCAGCUAACGCAUUAAGCACUCCGCCUGGGGAGUACGACCGCAAGGUUGAAACUCAAAGGAAUUGACGGGGACCCGCACAAGCGGUGGAGCAUGUGGUUUAAUUCGAAGCAACGCGAAGAACCUUACCAAAUCUUGACAUCCUUUGACAACUCUAGAGAUAGAGCCUUCCCCUUCGGGGGACAAAGUGACAGGUGGUGCAUGGUUGUCGUCAGCUCGUGUCGUGAGAUGUUGGGUUAAGUCCCGCAACGAGCGCAACCCUUAAGCUUAGUUGCCAUCAUUAAGUUGGGCACUCUAAGUUGACUGCCGGUGACAAACCGGAGGAAGGUGGGGAUGACGUCAAAUCAUCAUGCCCCUUAUGAUUUGGGCUACACACGUGCUACAAUGGACAAUACAAAGGGCAGCGAAACCGCGAGGUCAAGCAAAUCCCAUAAAGUUGUUCUCAGUUCGGAUUGUAGUCUGCAACUCGACUACAUGAAGCUGGAAUCGCUAGUAAUCGUAGAUCAGCAUGCUACGGUGAAUACGUUCCCGGGUCU
Molecule: ribosomal RNA, 1372 nt
Filed under: uncultured bacterium
Lineage: Bacteria
Description: bacterial SSU rRNA
Rfam family: Bacterial small subunit ribosomal RNA
Source: RNAcentral